GAGUUUGUUGGUUUUCGCCGGGGUAGGGUUGUCUCAUGCACAGAUCCGUCCCCAGUGUCCUCUACCACCCAAAGACGUGGAAACGGUGUUUACUAAUGGAACAGCAUCAGAAACCCGCAAAGGAAUUAAGGAGUUUAAGACUCGUGUAAAGAAGAACAACCCUUGGUUCACAGCAAUACAGGAAGGGGCAGCCGCCAGUCUAAUCAAUCCUGCGGACUGGAUCGCCAAACCCGGACGAUGGUUAAGUGUAUGUUCUGGAAAACCUCGUAAUAUCACGAUCCCCACGUGGCACACAGUGAAGGGCAGGAAAUGUUACACACCGAAACCAUUCCGAGAUUACACCUACCCUACUAUUGAAUGUCAAGUUACCCCUUGUCGUGGCGUGAGCCCUAUUGAAGAAGGAGAACGUGCCUUCUGCCGGCCUCAAAAUUACAAGAAAUACACUAUCUGUAUAUGGUGCUUGAACAAGAAGGGUACCAAGUUUGUUAGGGAAGAGUAUGAUAUACAUACCUACCGAUGCUGUUCCUGCUGCCGGUAUCGCUGUUAGAUAAUAAAGAUACAGACAUACAUCUCAUGUUGUCUAUCGAUAUCAGCAACGGCUGAUGGAACUGUGAACAAUACACAAUAAAACUGGU
Long non-coding RNA from Mizuhopecten yessoensis (Yesso scallop), 635 nucleotides. RefSeq lists it as uncharacterized. The transcript has 4 exons. The record is from RefSeq and is a predicted model, not a curated record. NCBI's taxonomy places the organism in Eukaryota, Metazoa, Mollusca, Bivalvia, Pectinida, Pectinidae.